CUAACACAUGCAAGUCGAACGGAACUUUUUUAAAAGAUUUCUUCGGAAUGAAUUUGAUUAAGUUUAGUGGCGGACGGGUGAGUAACGCGUGAGUAACCUGCCUCUAAGAGGGGAAUAACAUUCUGAAAAGAAUGCUAAUACCGCAUAACAUAUAUUUAUCGCAUGGUAGAUAUAUCAAAGAUUUAUCGCUUAGAGAUGGACUCGCGUCCGAUUAGUUAGUUGGUGAGGUAACGGCUCACCAAGACUGCGAUCGGUAGCCGGACUGAGAGGUUGAACGGCCACAUUGGGACUGAGACACGGCCCAGACUCCUACGGGAGGCAGCAGUGGGGGAUAUUGCGCAAUGGGGGAAACCCUGACGCAGCAACGCCGCGUGAAGGAUGAAGGUCUUCGGAUUGUAAACUUCUUUUAUUAAGGACGAAGAAAGUGACGGUACUUAAUGAAUAAGCUCCGGCUAACUACGUGCCAGCAGCCGCGGUAAUACGCAGGGAGCAAGCGUUGUCCGGAUUUACUGGGUGUAAAGGGUGCGUAGGCGGCUUUGCAAGUCAGAUGUGAAAUCUAUGGGCUCAACCCAUAGCCUGCAUUUGAAACUGCAGAGCUUGAGUGAAGUAGAGGCAGGCGGAAUUCCCCGUGUAGCGGUGAAAUGCGUAGAGAUGGGGAGGAACACCAGUGGCGAAGGCGGCCUGCUGGGCUUUAACUGACGCUGAGGCACGAAAGCGUGGGUAGCAAACAGGAUUAGAUACCCUGGCAGUCCACGCUGUAAACGAUGAUUACUAGGUGUGGGGGGUCUGACCCCUUCCGUGCCGGAGUUAACACAAUAAGUAAUCCACCUGGGGAGUACGGCCGCA
RNAcentral lists this ribosomal RNA (846 nucleotides) under uncultured bacterium. RNAcentral's name for it is "bacterial SSU rRNA". It matches the Rfam family "Bacterial small subunit ribosomal RNA", at positions 48 to 890 of the family's 1533-position model. The record is from RNAcentral.